Molecule: small RNA, 269 nt
Filed under: Nannospalax galili (Upper Galilee mountains blind mole rat)
Lineage: Eukaryota; Metazoa; Chordata; Mammalia; Rodentia; Spalacidae
Description: 7SK RNA (ENSNGAG00000008638.1)
Rfam family: 7SK RNA
About the family: 7SK was discovered as an abundant small nuclear RNA in the mid-70s but a possible function has only recently been suggested. Two independent studies have found that 7SK RNA binds the CDK9/cyclin T complex (known as elongation factor P-TEFb).
Source: Rfam by way of RNAcentral
GGAUACCAGGACAUUCUGGCUGCAGCAUCUGUUGCCCAUUGAUCACCAGGGUUGAUUCAGCUGAUCUGACUAGGUAGGUGGGUAUUCCUUUCCUCCCUCAACACUCCUUGUGUGUCUCCCAAGGCUUCAAGCUCUGGAGAAUAGGACAGGAGCUCCCCAUAGAAGAGGACCAGUCUUCAGUCGAGGGUACACCUGUAGCUGUGCCCCCCCCCACUAAAACCUCCAGUCAAGCUCUUAAGAAUGCACCCCUAAAAUCCCAGCACUCAGGA